GAUGAACGCUAGCGGCAGGCCUAACACAUGCAAGUCGAGGGAGAAGCCCUUCGGGGCAGAAACCGGCGCACGGGUGCGUAACGCGUAUGCAACCUACCUUUUACAGGGGGAUAGCCCGAAGAAAUUUGGAUUAAUACCCCAUAAUAUUAUUUGAUGGCAUCAUUGGAUAAUUAAAACUGAGGUGGUAAAAGAUGGGCAUGCGUCCUAUUAGCUAGUUGGAGUGGUAACGGCACCCCAAGGCUACGAUAGGUAGGGGUCCUGAGAGGGAGAUCCCCCACACUGGUACUGAGACAGGGACCAGACUCCUACGGGAGGCAGCAGUGAGGAAUAUUGGUCAAUGGUCGGAAGACUGAACCAGCCAUGCCGCGUGCAGGAAGAAUGCCUUAUGGGUUGUAAACUGCUUUUAUAUGGGAAGAAUAAGGAGUACGCGUACUUUGAUGACGUACCAUAUGAAUAAGCUC
RNAcentral lists this ribosomal RNA (461 nucleotides) under Capnocytophaga gingivalis. RNAcentral describes it as "bacterial SSU rRNA". It matches the Rfam family "Bacterial small subunit ribosomal RNA", at positions 28 to 493 of the family's 1533-position model. Lineage: Bacteria; Pseudomonadati; Bacteroidota; Flavobacteriia; Flavobacteriales; Flavobacteriaceae. The record is from RNAcentral.